Molecule: long non-coding RNA, 933 nt
Filed under: Homo sapiens (human)
Lineage: Eukaryota; Metazoa; Chordata; Mammalia; Primates; Hominidae
Description: HSALNT0061911
Source: RNAcentral
UACCCCGCGGGGAGGCAGCUAAGGCCCGGCGAGAAGUCGAGCACAGCAGCUGCUGGACCGGGUGCUAAGCCCCUCACUGCCCCGGGCGCGGGGCCGGCUGGCCGCUCCGAGUGCUGGGCCUGGGAGGCCACGCCCACCCGGAACUUGCCCUAGUCCGCAAGCGCAGCGUGCAGCCUGGGUUCCCGCCCGCGCCUCUCCCGCCACACCUCCCUGCAAGCUGAGGGAGCCGGCUCCUGCCUUGGCCAGGCUAGAAAGGGGCUCCCACAGUGCAGGGGCGGGCUGAAGGGCUCCUCAAGUGCCACCAAAGUGGGAGCCCAGGCAGAGGAGGUGCCGAGAGCGAGCGAGGGCUGCGAGGACUGCCAGCAGCUGUCACCUCUCGUUACCAUCACUCCUAGUGACCAUUUCGGAUAAUCCACCUUGCCUCAUCAAACCAGAAAACAAUUCAAACCUGGCCUCCUUCUAACUGGAAGCCACAUUUUAAGAACUUAUUGUGAAGAACUGGAAAGCCUCCAAUAGGACCCAUUAUACAGGCUGCCUUUCCAGCUCUCCAAUCAUACUUCCAAGAAAACUGCUCACUCUCAGAACCAAGGUUCAAGUUGUACAUUGGGAUUUGGGUAGAGGUAAGAGGAAACACCCUCAAAUAGAUUUGGAUCAUUCCAGAUGUCCUAUAAAUGAAGUUUGACAUUUGCUCAAGUAUCACCACCUCACUGUAAAAGCAACGAAUCUACCUUCAUUGUGAAAAUUUGGGGACUAGAAUUAAUGAGUACAGUAACCUUAUGGAUAGAACCUUCAGAGUUUUUCAUUAUCUAUGUGAAGAGAUAAUUCUAAAUUAUUUGAGAUCUAGUAUCUGUCAGCUUGGGGACUGGUGUCUAGUCCCAAGACUAGACAAAGGAAACCCUUAUUAGUAUUUUUAUUUUCCAUUUCAAAUAAAAA